This 340-nucleotide ribosomal RNA is filed under the name uncultured bacterium. Its description in RNAcentral is "bacterial SSU rRNA". It matches the Rfam family "Bacterial small subunit ribosomal RNA", at positions 28 to 369 of the family's 1533-position model. The record is from RNAcentral.
GACGAACGCUGGCGGCGCGCCUAACACAUGCAAGUCGAACGAGCGAGAGAGAGCUUGCUUUCUCGAGCGAGUGGCGAACGGGUGAGUAACGCGUGAGGAACCUGCCUCAAAGAGGGGGACAACAGUUGGAAACGGCUGCUAAUACCGCAUAAGCGCACAGUACCGCAUGGUACAGUGUGAAAAACUCCGGUGGUGUGAGAUGGACCCGCGUCUGAUUAGCUAGUUGGCAGGGCAACGGCCUACCAAGGCGACGAUCAGUAGCCGACCUGAGAGGUGACCGGCCACAUUGGGACUGAGACACGGCCCAAAUCCUACGGAGGCAGCAGUGGGAAUAUUGCAC